GGCUCAUAACCUUGAGGUCAUGGGUUCAAAUCCCAUCU
Molecule: transfer RNA, 38 nt
Filed under: Monotropa uniflora (ghost pipe)
Lineage: Eukaryota; Viridiplantae; Streptophyta; Magnoliopsida; Ericales; Ericaceae
Description: tRNA-Arg
Source: RNAcentral